RNAcentral lists this ribosomal RNA (253 nucleotides) under uncultured bacterium. RNAcentral describes it as "partial 16S ribosomal RNA". It matches the Rfam family "Bacterial small subunit ribosomal RNA", at positions 524 to 776 of the family's 1533-position model. The record is from RNAcentral.
UACGGAGGGUGCAAACGUUGCUCGGAAUCAUUGGGCGUAAAGCGCACGUAGGCGGCGUGAUAAGUUGGGUGUGAAAGCCCUGGGCUCAACCCAGGAAGUGCAUUCAAAACUGUCUCGCUUGAAUCUCGGAGGGGGUCAGAGAAUUCCCGGUGUAGAGGUGAAAUUCGUAGAUAUCGGGAGGAAUACCAGUGGCGAAAGCGCUGACCUGGACGAAGAUUGACGCUGAGGUGCGAAAGCGAGGGGAGCAAAAAGG